Molecule: ribosomal RNA, 446 nt
Filed under: uncultured bacterium
Lineage: Bacteria
Description: partial 16S ribosomal RNA
Rfam family: Bacterial small subunit ribosomal RNA
Source: RNAcentral
CCUACGGGUGGCAGCAGUCGAGAAUCAUUGACAAUGGGGGAAACCCUGAUGGUGCGACGCCGCGUGGGGGAAUGAAGGUCUUCGGAUUGUAAACCCCUGUCAUGUGGGAGCAAAUUAAAAAGAUAGUACCACAAUAGGAAGAGACGGCUAACUCUGUGCCACCAGCCGCGGUAAUACAGAGGUCUCAAGCGUUGUUCUGAAUCACUUGGCGUAAAGGGUGCGUAGGCUGUUUCGUAAGUCGUGUGUGAAAGGCGCGGGCUCAACCCGCGGACGGCCCAGGAUACUGGGAGGCUAGAGUAAUGGAGGGGGAUGCGGAAUGCGCGGUGUAGCAGUGAAAUGCGUAGAUAUCGAGAGGAACACUCGUGGCGAAGGCGGGUUCCUGGACAUUAACUGACGCUGAGGCACGAAGGCCAGGGGAGCGAAAGGGAUUAGAUACCCCUGUAGUC